ACAGGGAUUGCCUUAGUAACGGCGAGUGAAGCGGCAAAAGCUCAAAUUUGAAAUCUGGCACCUUCGGUGUCCGAGUUGUAAUUUGAAGAAGGUAACUUUGGAGUUGGCUCUUGUCUAUGUUCCUUGGAACAGGACGUCACAGAGGGUGAGAAUCCCGUGCGAUGAGAUGCCCAAUUCUAUGUAAAGUGCUUUCGAAGAGUCGAGUUGUUUGGGAAUGCAGCUCUAAGUGGGUGGUAAAUUCCAUCUAAAGCUAAAUAUUGGCGAGAGACCGAUAGCGAACAAGUACAGUGAUGGAAAGAUGAAAAGAACUUUGAAAAGAGAGUGAAAAAGUACGUGAAAUUGUUGAAAGGGAAGGGCUUGAGAUCAGACUUGGUAUUUUGCGAUCCUUUCCUUCUUGGUUGGGUUCCUCGCAGCUUACUGGGCCAGCAUCGGUUUGGAUGGUAGGAUAAUGACUAAGGAAUGUGGCUCUACUUCGGUGGAGUGUUAUAGCCUUGGUUGAUACUGCCUGUCUAGACCGAGGACUGCGUCUUUUGACGAGGAUGU
Molecule: ribosomal RNA, 543 nt
Filed under: Debaryomyces hansenii
Lineage: Eukaryota; Fungi; Ascomycota; Pichiomycetes; Serinales; Debaryomycetaceae
Description: eukaryotic LSU rRNA
Rfam family: Eukaryotic large subunit ribosomal RNA
Source: RNAcentral